Saccostrea echinata is the source of this 383-nucleotide long non-coding RNA. RefSeq lists it as uncharacterized. Lineage: Eukaryota; Metazoa; Mollusca; Bivalvia; Ostreida; Ostreidae. The record is from RefSeq and is a predicted model, not a curated record. The transcript has 3 exons.
AGUACCGCAAGAUCAUCAAGUAUUCAGAAUCCACCCACAACUCAGCAACCAGGAAAAGGACGGAAGCAGCCACCAAAAACGCCAGAUCCUGAUGAAGAUGAAAAUGUCCAUUUUGGUUUGAUAAUCACUUUGAUUGUACUCUCCGUCCUCAUCCUGUCCGUUACCAUCGCUCUUCUGUACAUGAAGUUGCGACCCUCAAGAAAACCAAGUCCAAUGCCAGAUGUCACGAGCCCUGUUGAAUGCAGUCAACCACCACGUCAGCAUUACAAAACCAUAUCACAGAAUCGUCCUCAAUCCCCUCCGCCUAGGUACGAGACAAUAAGUCCCAUUCCAGAAAGCAGCAAAACUAUCCUUGGAUCGUCUGAGUUCCGACCUCAAAGUGC